UACGGGGGGAGCAAGCGUUGUUCGGAUUUACUGGGCGUAAAGGGCGCGUAGGCGGCCACUGCAAGUCAGUUGUGAAAUCUCCGGGCUUAACUCGGAAAGGUCAACUGAUACUGCAGGGCUAGAGUGCAGAAGGGGCAACUGGAAUUCUCGGUGUAGCGGUGAAAUGCGUAGAUAUCGUGAGGAACACCGGUGGCGAAGGCGGGUCUCUAGACAGUUCCUGACACUGAGGCACGAAGGCCAGGGGAGCAAACGGG
This 254-nucleotide ribosomal RNA is filed under the name uncultured bacterium. Its description in RNAcentral is "partial 16S ribosomal RNA". It matches the Rfam family "Bacterial small subunit ribosomal RNA", at positions 524 to 776 of the family's 1533-position model. The record is from RNAcentral.